AGGGGAUGUAGCUCAGAUGGU
Molecule: non-coding RNA, 21 nt
Filed under: Arabidopsis thaliana (thale cress)
Lineage: Eukaryota; Viridiplantae; Streptophyta; Magnoliopsida; Brassicales; Brassicaceae
Source: RNAcentral